UACGUAGGGGGCAAGCGUUAUCCGGAUUCACUGGGUGUAAAGGGAGCGUAGACGGCGACGCAAGUCUGGAGUGAAAGCCCGGGGCCCAACCCCGGGACUGCUCUGGAAACUGCGUCGCUGGAGUACGGGAGGGGCAGGCGGAAUUCCUGGUGUAGCGGUGAAAUGCGUAGAUAUCAGGAGGAACACCGGCGGCGAAGGCGGCCUGCUGGACCGUGACUGACGUCGAGGCUCGAGAGCGUGGGGAGCAAACAGG
RNAcentral lists this ribosomal RNA (253 nucleotides) under uncultured bacterium. RNAcentral's name for it is "partial 16S ribosomal RNA". It matches the Rfam family "Bacterial small subunit ribosomal RNA", at positions 524 to 776 of the family's 1533-position model. The record is from RNAcentral.